GAUUAUGGCUCAGGAUGAACGCUGGCGGCGUGCUUAACACAUGCAAGUCGAACGGAGUUUUUAACGGAAGUUUCGGAUGGAAGUUUAAGAACUAGUGGCGGACGGGUGAGUAACGCGUGGGUAACCUGCCUCAUACAGGGGGAUAACAGUUAGAAAUGACUGCUAACACCGCAUAAUAUAGUGAAACCGCAUGAUUUUUGCUAUCAAAUAUUUAUAGGUAUGAGAUGGGCCCGCGUCUGAUUAGCUAGUUGGUGGGGUAAAAGCCUACCAAGGCGACGAUCAGUAGCCGGCUUGAGAGAGUGACCGGCCACAUUGGGACUGAGACACGGCCCAAACUCCUACGGGAGGCAGCAGUGGGGAAUAUUGGACAAUGGGGGAAACCCUGAUCCAGCCGACGCCGCGUGAGUGAAGAAGUAUUUCGGUAUGUAAAGCUCUAUCAGCAGGGAAGAUAAUGACAGUACCUGACUAAGAAGCCCCGGCUAACUACGUGCCAGCCGCGGC
This 501-nucleotide ribosomal RNA is filed under the name uncultured bacterium. RNAcentral's name for it is "bacterial SSU rRNA". It matches the Rfam family "Bacterial small subunit ribosomal RNA", at positions 15 to 518 of the family's 1533-position model. The record is from RNAcentral.